RNAcentral lists this ribosomal RNA (420 nucleotides) under uncultured bacterium. RNAcentral's name for it is "bacterial SSU rRNA". It matches the Rfam family "Bacterial small subunit ribosomal RNA", at positions 355 to 774 of the family's 1533-position model. The record is from RNAcentral.
UCAGGAAUAUUGCUCAAUGGGAGAAAUCCUGAAGCAGCAACGCCGCGUGGAGGAUGAAGGGUCUAUGACUUGUAAACUCCUGUAAAGAAGGAAAAAAUUCCCAUUAGAUGGGAGAUGAUGGUACUUCUGGAGUAAGCCCCGGCUAACUACGUGCCCGCAGCCGCGGUAAUACGUAGGGGGCAAGCGUUGUCCGGAUUUACUGGGUGUAAAGGGUGCUCAGGCGGAUUUGUAAGUCAGAGGUGAAAUCUUACAGCUUAACUGUGAAACUGCCUUUGAUACUGCAAGCCUAGAGUAUGGAAGAGAGUGAUGGAAUAUCUGGUGUAGCAGUGAAAUGCGUAGAUAUCAGAUAGAACACCAAUGGCGAAGGCAGUCACUUGGUCCAUUACUGACGCUAAAGCACGAAAGCGUGGGUAGCAAACA